Molecule: long non-coding RNA, 554 nt
Organism: Ipomoea nil (Japanese morning glory)
Lineage: Eukaryota; Viridiplantae; Streptophyta; Magnoliopsida; Solanales; Convolvulaceae
Exons: 3
Source: RefSeq, a predicted model, not a curated record
GCUUUUUCGAACGCAUUCGUCACUUCACCUUCUUUUGUUCUACGCCUCCCCCUCAGUCAGCCAUUUCCAAACUUUAGCAUUCGUCACAUUGCAGGCCUUUGCAGUUCUACGCCUUCACUCCGGUGAUCUCCCCAGUGCUGUGCCUUCAGGCCUCUCGGUUCGGCAGUUCGCACUCUUUGCAGGCCGCAGGGACAGCUCCUCAGCCCCUAAUUGAAGUCAGCAGCAGGUCUCCUGUCUUCGUUGCGACUCAUCUGCAGCGGGCAGCUACUCUUUUUUAUCGGCAGCGACGACGACAUUAGUUGAUUCUAGGUUUUUCAGUGUAUGGAUAUUAUUCUCUGCUCCCAUGGAUGCAGAUGGCUGGAUGAACACAAGAUGAGGGGGAAAAAAAGGUGAUUGGAUGAAGAACAAGGCACGAAUUUUUGAGAUUAAAUUGGAGCUAACCGGGCGAUUGACUAAAUGAUGAAACACAAGCCCCUUCAUGAAGAUUAAAUACUUUAUGUUUUUAUGAUUUUUUUUUGUGUAUGGCAAUAGUGCAUUGGUUAAAUAUUUAUAGA